AGCUAUAUAUUAAAGAGAUUUAUUUAUAUAAAUAGGUUUACUAGCUGAUUGUGUAUAUACGCAGGCCAAUGCUUCUAAUUUCAUAGCAAGCUCGCUUGCUAUGAAAUAGGCAACCAGUAAUAUAAGCAAGUGUGUGCUAUUUAUAGCGCUAGCCAAUAAACCUAUAAUUAUAUUAACUCUAAGAGAAAUUUAAUAAUAAACGAAGUGAAUUGAAAUAUCUUAGUAACUUUAGGAAAAGAAAUCAAAAGAGAUUCUAUGAUUAGCGUGAGCUAAAAUAGACUAGCCUAAAAAGUCAAAUGGUGGAUAAACUGUUUAAAUUAAAUGGGGAACCUUCCUCAAAGGCUAAAUAUAAUAUAUAAGCGAUAGUGGAAAGUACCGUGAGGGAACCAAAACAAAAACAGUGAUUUUAUAAGCAGUUCGGGAAAAUAAAAAAAAGUUAGAACGUACCUUUUGCAUAAUGGGUCACCAAGUUAACAUUAGAUGCGAGUAGGAGGGAGCUUUAUAAAAAAAAAUAUAUUUUUUUUUAUAGCCCCGUGCAUACGUAGUUAAACCGAGCGUUAAAAUAACGGUAAGUAUCUAAAGUUAGACCCGAAGCCUGGUGAUUUUACCAUAAUCAGGAUUAUAAAAGUCCGAACGGAAUAUUGUAGCAUAAAUAUCCGAAGAAUUAUGGUAGGUGUAGUGAAAGACAAUACUGACCAGGAUAGCUGGUUUUCUGCGAAACCUAUAACAGUAGGCAAUUUAAGUAUAAUAUCUUAGCAGGUACAGAAUUUAAUCUCAGACAAGACAUAAGGCUUAGCUUGCUAGCAAGUAAAGCUCAUGUUUUAUUUUGUACAAAUUGGGGGAUCAUGAAGAUUUUAUCAGUGAGUAUGUAGACUCGGAAUGGCAAAGAUAUAUCUUAAAUCAUCAGACAUAGAAUGAUAAGGUUGUAUGUCAAAAGGGAAACAGCCCAGAACAAGAGUUAAGGUUCCUAAAUUAUUAGUUGAGUGAAAUUAAGAAGGUUUUUAUUAAAGUCGACAAGGAGAUAGGCUUAGAAGCAGCCAUAAUUUUAUGACCUCGUAACAGAGCGCUUGUUAAGUUUUAAAAGCAUCGAAAAUUUAUCGGAUCUAAACAAUAUACCGAAACCUUGUCCAUAUUAUUUUAUAAUUAAAGCUUAAUUAUAAUUAAAUGGGGUAGCAGAACGUUGAGCUAAAUUAAGAUUUUUAUUUUUUAAAUGAAAUUAUAAUAAUUUAACUCAAGUGAUAAUGGUGACAUGAGUAACUAAAAGAAAAAAUAAAAUUUUUCCGCCUAAAGCUUAUGGAUGUAAUUAAGUAACGGCCUCUAAGUUUAUAUUAUCUAAAGAUUUAAACGAUGAGAUAAUCUUUUGUACUAAGGACGACAUUUUAAGUGAAAAAUGUACUGGAAAAAUAGUACUAAAUUAAUGGCUAUAGCUAAUUAGUUAGCUAUAGCUAUAAAUGAAAAGUAACCGUACCUAGAAUCUGAAACAAGUAAGCUAGUAGAGAAUACGAAGGCGUAAAUGAGCUAACAAUCAUAAAGGAACUCGGCAAAUUGACUACCGUAACUUCGGGAUAAGGAGAGCUCAUUAUUCUUGAUUAAUAUCAGGUAAAGAGGAAGAAGCAUGAAAUAGUGUUGUACGACUGUUUAAUUAAAACACAGCACUUUGCUGAAAGAUUAAAAAUCUAAGUAUAGAGUGUGAUGUCUGCCCGGUGCCGGCUGGUUAACAGAUAUAAUUAAAUAUACUAAUAUUUGAUGUAGACGGAAACCCCGGUUAAAGGCGGCCUUAACGUGAGGGUCCUAAGGUAGCGAAAUGCCUUGGCCGUUAAAUGCGGUCUUGCAUGAAUGAUGUAACGAUACAACAGCUGUCUCUAUGAUUGACUCAGUGAAAUUGGAAUAGCUGUGCAGAUACAGUUUACCUCUAGUUAGACGAGAAGACCCUAUGCAGCUUUACUGUCACUAAUUAUAGAGUAUGAUAAACAAUUUUCAGAUUAUAAGGUAAUUGACGGCUAGCUUGUUCAGCAAGCUAGCUCUAUGACAAUGAGAAUCCUUUAUUUUUUUUUCAUAUGAAUGAAUUGGUUUAGGAUUAUGAGUAGGUAGCUGCUUCUGCUACUUGGCGCAAGCAUUGCUUGCGUCAAGUGUCUGAAGUAUGCAUUCCAGCUCAUGCAUAGUAAAUCAACCUAAUUCAGCUUAUUUUCCUUUCUGCCAUAAGCGCAUAAUGAUAGAUUUAACUUAAAUUUUGAUUUAUGCCAGCUGCAGAAAUAGAUAAGUACCCUUGGCUAAGGAACUAUCGCUAGGGGACAGUUUAUGUGGGGCACAGACCCUGUAAAGAGUAAACAGGAGUGUCUAAUAAUUUAUAAUUAUUUUGUUUGCGAUUUAAGAUAGUGAAACUAUUUUUAAUCAUAUAAAAUUAUUUAUAUGUACAUUCGUUGUAUAUAUAUUUAAAAAAAGGUAGGAUUUUCACUAUAUAGAAAUUAGAGAUAAUAAAAAUAUUAAGAAUAUACCUUUCAGGUAGCACUAAUAUUUUUUAGCUAUUAAGACAGGCUAUCAAGCUAGGCUCUAAUAGUUAUGUAUUAAUUAUCUAAAAAGCUCAACGGCUAAAUCUUGCCUUACUGUUUGAUUAUCAACAAAUCUUACAGUUGCGUAAGCAGGGCAUAGGAUCACAAGAUGCAACAAGGAAAGAUCUUGGAUUAUUGGAAAAGCUACGCUAGGGAUAACAGGCUAAUUUGCGCAAGAGUGUACAAAAUGAGUGCGCGGUUUGGCACCUCGAUGUCGGCUUAACUUAUCCUCAUGGAUGCAGGAACUAUGUAGGGUGCGACUGUUCGUCGAUUAAAAAGUUACAUGAGCUGGGUUAAAUACGUCGUGAGACAGUAUGGUUUCUAUCUUCUAGGGGGAAUUAGAAUAUAAUAAGAACUAACUUUUGUACGAAAGGAACAAGAAGAAUUUAAUUUGUAAAAGGGUUAAAUAAUAGUUACUAACCUAUGGUUUACCUGUUGUCUAUGUGCCCAAAUAUUAAAAUAUAUAUAUGGAGGAAGCUCCUUAAGAGCUUCCCCCGCAAAUUAUAUAUAUCUGUAUAGCUAGCCUGCGGACUCCGGUUAUGCCUGAGUUUGGCAAGCUAAAGCUAUACAUAGGGAUGUUUCUUUCACUAAGAUAAAUAUAUAGCAUAGGCACGGCAGGAAAGCUAAGUUGGUUAAGGAUAAGUGCUGAAAGCAUAUAGGCACGAAGCUUAUCUUAAGAUAUUUCUUAAAUAUACGUAAAAUAUUAUUACGAAGGAUGUAAUAUAGGCUUUAUCCGUACGAAUCAGGAGAUUUUUAAGAAUAAAGUACUAAUUUUAUAAAUAACUAUUUAU
Molecule: ribosomal RNA, 3340 nt
Filed under: Fusarium acutatum
Lineage: Eukaryota; Fungi; Ascomycota; Sordariomycetes; Hypocreales; Nectriaceae
Description: 16S ribosomal RNA
Rfam family: Bacterial large subunit ribosomal RNA
Source: RNAcentral